CAGCCGCCACGGUAAUACGAAGGGUGCAAGCGUUACUCGGAAUUACUGGGCGUAAAGCGUGCGUAGGUGGUGGUUUAAGUCCGUUGUGAAAGCCCUGGGCUCAACCUGGGAAUUGCAGUGGAUACUGGGUCACUAGAGUGUGGUAGAGGAUAGUGGAAUUUCCGGUGUAGCAGUGAAAUGCGUAGAGAUCGGAAGGAACAUCUGUGGCGAAGGCGACUAUCUGGGCCAACACUGACACUGAGGCACGAAAGCGUGGGGAGCAAACAGGAUUAGAUACCCCGGUAGUCCCUGUCUCUUAUAA
This 301-nucleotide ribosomal RNA is filed under the name uncultured bacterium. Its description in RNAcentral is "partial 16S ribosomal RNA". It matches the Rfam family "Bacterial small subunit ribosomal RNA", at positions 509 to 809 of the family's 1533-position model. The record is from RNAcentral.